This is a long non-coding RNA of Macrobrachium nipponense, 1071 nucleotides long. RefSeq lists it as uncharacterized. The record is from RefSeq and is a predicted model, not a curated record. NCBI's taxonomy places the organism in Eukaryota, Metazoa, Arthropoda, Malacostraca, Decapoda, Palaemonidae. The transcript is spliced from 3 exons.
CUUCUUCCAGGAUGUUUUUAGUACGAGUUUGACUUUAGUUCCUGUUCUAACGGUAAAGCUGCUCGCUUUAGCAACAGGAAUUGCGUGGUCACCGAAGCGGAAGAGAAACUUCUUUAACGAGCGAGGAGGGAAGUGAUUAGGCGAGGAAUAACUGGCAUGGUAGUUCUGAGCCGUAGCUGCUGGCGUUCAGUAGAAGACGGAAGUACGACUGGGAGUAGUAUUGUGGCUGGAGAGGCCUACUUGGACUUCAUGGAAAGGGUCAGACACCUGGGAACCCAAACCCCCUCCUUACAAUGCUCCCGUAUGUGGAUAUGAACGCCACUCCCGAGCAAUGGCCACCUAGCCUAUCAUUUUAGCCCCCCCCUUUUUAUGGAGAAGUCAGUAGAGGAUCUCGUACAGUUCGCGGUCAAGAGGAACCGUACACCUGGCCAGGAUUUGGCAUACCUUCAUGGAACACUUACGUCGCUUAUGUGAAGUCGUGGACCGUUAAAAUACUUAGACAUCCUUCAGUGGACUUCCAGGGCAACAGCCGUUAACCACUACGUGAACUCGUUAUUUGUGUAUAAAGCUGUCUAGGAGACUAACUCUACGUAUUUGAGUUUAAAAUUUCUCAUUUUAACCCUUUAAUGACCAGAGAUCCCGUUUGGGAUCUUUAAAACAGCUACUUUCGGGUAGUCGUGGUGAACAAGUUUGAGCUUGUAUGAAAUUGACGCUUUGGCAACUCAUAGCUACACUCCUCUGCUCUUUGAAUCAACCAAUCAGAAGCCGCCAGGCCCUCGCACAAAAGCUGGAGGGCCUUCGACAGACACCGCAGUCGUGCGCAAGUUGGAAAACAGUGAAGACGUGCCGCAGUAACCUCCAAGUUUCCCCCCCCUCCGAACUUCGUAAUCAUGUUUCAAAGCAGUAUGUUUUAUGGGCAACGCAAUGCUGCAUUGGAGACUCAGGAACGUGUACCAUGGGUAGCCCCUGACGACGCUGAAGGAAGUGAUGUCGACGUGAGCCCUUUGGACAUUGACAGUGAUGAUGACGACCCUACCUACGUUCCUGACGAAGGCCUUACUCAGGACGAUG